GGGUUGGGGGAGCGAGGGGGGCACGGUUGUCUGUGGCAGGAAGGGGUUUUAAAGAGAGCGUAGGGGAGAGGGUUGUCUAGGAAGCGGUCCCCUUUGAGCAGGGGAAUGGAGCGGGUUCCUCUGCAAUAUGACGGCAGCGUGCCCCGGGCAGGGCGGUUCCAGGCUGUGCGUGUUGUUGUGUAGCGCGUCUGUGUGUUUGAUGUUGGGUGCGUUUGACCUUCCUCGGGUCUCGGUUGUUCUUUGUUCCGUAGGAUCGAGGCCGGUGCCUCGGCAGCGUUACUAGGGCCCGGCGAGGCCCUAGUCGUGGGCACGGCGCCCAUCGGGCGCUUCUCUUUUGGUGUCGCAAGCUUCCGGCGUGGAUCGUUUUGGCGUCUCGGAUGGUUCUGGCCGGUGGUCUUGUGCCGCGCCGUUCCCAGCUGCGUGAGCGGCUCUGCUCGCUAGCUGUCGCUUUUAGGGACUGGCACUUCUUCCUUGCAUCUUCAGGGGCUGAGGUCUUGAAGGCGGGCUGCUUGCGCAUCCGUCUUCUCAGUUUUGAGAGGAAGCGCUUGUCCCCACCCACGAAGGUCUCGUCGUUUUGUGGCGUGGCGCUAGGAGCACGCUAGGGUUCUGCGCGUGCUCUUCCCGGAUGGAGGUUUUCUGUACGUGCGUCGUUGGUCUCGCCGAGUGACUCGGCUUGUUUUUUGAGGCGUGUUGUUGUUGGCGUUCCAUGUAGGGUUCGUCUGUGGUUGUGGUGUCUUGGCUUGGAGCCGCCCUGCCCGGGGGUGUCGAGUCAGGGCAAGGUGGCACGGGAGCAAUGAGGGGCUAUGGCUUAUGUGUCAAAGUGCCUUGCUUCUUUGGGGGAAAAGAUGUGUGGCCCUUUUAGAUUGAGCGGCCGUUGUCAGUGGGUGAGAAAAAGAAUUCCCACGGUGUUUUGUGGCUUCCCAGGGGAUGAUGGUAGCUGUCUGGGAGAGGGAGCUCCUGCUUCAGCGGAGCAGAGAACAUCUCAAGGGCGUUCCGGCUUGGAUGUGGGUCGGGCGUAAUGCUUGGUGUACGGUGUUCAGAUGGCAGAGCAGGCCUAGCUGGGCUCUCGAUGGGCUUGCUACCUGGGAACAAGGCCUGUGGAAUGGCUAAGCUAUUGCUGUUCAUUGAGGGGACUUGUUUGAUAUUUUUGCAGAUGCCGAGGGAGGAGUCGUGCAGGGCGACGGAGGAGGGCAGAGGAUAGCGCUGUAAGCAGGUGGUGGUCAAGCUUGAACAUGGCAGUUGGAUCUGAUGGCGUCCAGGUGCCUUUCUGCUUGGAUUUUUGCAGGUGCCGCAAUCAGCCUUCAGAGGGGAGAUGACGCAUGGCGACGAGAGGUCCGA
Molecule: non-coding RNA, 1338 nt
Organism: Phalacrocorax carbo (great cormorant)
Lineage: Eukaryota; Metazoa; Chordata; Aves; Suliformes; Phalacrocoracidae
Source: RefSeq, a predicted model, not a curated record